This is a non-coding RNA of Meleagris gallopavo (turkey), 4363 nucleotides long. NCBI's taxonomy places the organism in Eukaryota, Metazoa, Chordata, Aves, Galliformes, Phasianidae. The record is from RefSeq and is a predicted model, not a curated record.
GUGGUUGUGAAAUUAAUAGGUUCAUGAUACCCUGAAUAUAUGAAAGUAAAACAAACCUCAGAGACCUAAUAGCAGGGAUGAUUCUUAACAAUAUAUAUAAUAUUCUUCUUCUUUACUAUACUUUUAUAUUAGUUCCUUCUUUGAAGGAGUAAAAUUACUAAAUUUCUACCAGUUAAGCACAUUAUAUCAACAGUUUCUCAAAUAGAAGCCUUUCUCCAAAAUUGGGAUGAUUGAGUCAACCCCAGUUUCUGAAACCAGAACAGAUAAUGGGACUUUUUAUGAAUUGAGCUGCAGAAGAAAUUCUGAAAGUACAUUAAGUAUCUCAGUCAGCAAGAAUGUUUUUCCUUUAUGGAGCACUUUGGAAGUGUUAUGAAAGAUAGAUGUCUUUUUUCUUUUUCUUUCCCCUGCUAUCUGUCUCUGUCAAUUCAACUGAGAUUUCACAUACCUAUUAAGACUUUCUCAACAAUGAGCCGAGUCUUCCAAGUUAUUAGACUAUCAUCCAAACAGCCAGUCCUCAAAUUACUGACAGACCACGAUGAUUGCUUUAAGGUCCAAUCUGAAUACAAAUUAUGCUUUAAUAGCCGUAUGAUUGUGCUAAAGUAAUUGAAUUUUCCUGGCAUCUUUUCAAUUUAUUGGCUGAUUAAUCAUGAAGCAGAGGAAGAUGUUUCUUUAAAAUGAGAAUUCUUGGGAUACAACAGUGAACAAACUUGGAAAUACCUGUGGUCAUAACACUGGAGUCAUUACCACAACUGUUGUUCCCACUCCUGAAAUUAAAAUAUUAAUUCUUCUGUCACAACAAUAUUUAAGAUUUUGUUUACUGCCUACUCCACCUACCAUGCAUAACUGGUUUUGUAAUAAAUAAUCGCAACUUUGCCUGGUUUUAUUGCUACAAAACAGAAGAAUGAGUUUCUCAGACAUCUUUUUCUUAUAAUGCAUAACUUUACAUCUUGUAAGAAGCUCCAUGCCAAGCUGAAGUUAUGUCAUAUAGCAGCUAUUUUUUUUACAUCAGUGUAUUUGCAGAAAGUCUUCCGUGGAGUUCUCUUUUAUUCAAGCCUGGGCUAAACUACCUUGGGAAUGCAUUCUCAGGGCUGUAUGAGCAGCAGUGCACUGUGGAGACACUGUGGGAAAACAGAGGGAGAAAACUAAUCAAAUUGUACAAACACAGGAGCCUAGAGGUAAUGUGAAAAGCAAGAAGAUGAUUAUAUUCAGAUUUCCUUCAGAUGUGGUUGACUUGAUUUGUGCAAAUAUAAUUCAUGUUAAUAAUCUGCUGGACAAAACUCAGCCAAAAGGUUGUCCUAACGAAAUCAUACUAUGUAUGCUUCAGUGUCUGGUUUGAGAUGUGUUUAAACAAGUUAUAGAUGCCUUCACUGAGGUACGUGAAUCCUUUAGGUUGAGCUGAAUGAGAAUUUUCCUUCCAGUCCAUCUUAGUUGCAGGCAAGAGGUAUUUUUUUUUUUUUUCAGCUUUUCUUUAUUUAAUAACAUGGAGGAGCUUCAUUUUAAUCUUUAUUCUUUAUUCACAGAUGUAUAUCUCUGGAAAUUUAUUCUGAUGAUGUUGUUCCAUUGAAGAGCAUUUGCCAUAGUUGGCACAGGUGCCUUCUUCCUACUAUUUAAAAUUCUUAUCUCCCACAUUGGCAGAGUAUAUAACUUGAUUCUGAAGCUUUGAUGUAGUUACACAAAUAAGCUGUCUGGUUUCAUGAAUUCUGAAGUUCAGUUUGCAUAAUCAAAAUGGGAGACAAUGGAAUGUGUUUGAAGAAGGUGCUUGUGCAAGCAGACAUGGAAAUGAAACAUUACUGCAAGCAAGCUCUGCCCAUCAGCAGUCAUGUUCUACCCUGGAACAAGAAUAGUAGAAAAGAAAACAUCAAAAAGCACUUCCUGACUCUGCAGAGAUCACUGAACUGCAGCGGUGAAAGCAAGUGCAUUGUUCUGACUCGCCGCUGCUCCCCCUUGUGAGCCGUGCUGGUGACUACUUGCAAGGAGUGCCACGCAAGCUGUGAUACACCCCUGCUGAUGUCAGUAGGAAUUCAGCUGUUUCUGCUGGUGUAAUUAUGACCUAAUAUUUCACUGAUAGCUCUGCAUUUUUGGUGAGUAUGUAGUGAGAUCAUGUUUGACUCAAAAAUUUCCUGUGGAGUACAAACCUGAGAAUCCUGGUACUUUGGUGCUACCAUCAAAAAUGUGGUGUUUUACAGAUCUUGUUGCAUUUUCUUCCAUGCAAUGAACCUGCAACGCUUUUGGAAUAUAAAAGGAAGUAGAAAUCCUCUGUGAAUUAAAUUUUCAGCUUCUAGCUCUACCCUCAUUGCUAUCAGUAGGACUUUUAUUAUCUAAAUAUUUUUUACUUGUAAAUUAUCUAUCUUUAACUGCUCUUAGAGUUAUAGUAAUGAGAAUUAUAGAAAUAUGCAUUAAUAUUUUAUAUAAAGUUUCCAAUAUUGGGAUCUCUUUGAAUACAAAACAUUUAAAGAUCUUUGCUAUUAUUUUUGAGUGACACACUGUAUACCCCCCCAGUUCUAUGAUCUGAUGGCUAAUUUAAGCUUGAUCUCUGGAUCCAUCUUACACAAAGGAGGUGUGUACCUUGAAGGCAGUUCUUCUGAAGAAAGUAGAGUAAUAUGUACACAUGCUGUAAACUGAAACAUAUUGCCUUCAUAGCAACAAUUUUUUCUUGUGAACUAUGUCCUUCAGAAAUGAUCCAAAUCUUCUCCUAUAAAACAGGAUGUGUAGGCCAUAUAGUAAGCAAAUUUUCCUGUGAACUUUUGAUUUUCACAACUAAGACUUCCCUAACUACAGCUAUCUUAAACAGACUCCUUGGAAUAGUGGCUCAGUGCUAGCAGAGAUGAUAGAACACGGGGAAAUGCUGUCAAACUUAAAGAGGGUAUAUUUAUGUUAGAUAUAAGGAAAAAGUCUUUUACAGUGAGGAUGGUGAAGCACUGAACAUGUUGCCCAGAGAUGUUGUGGAUGCCCUAUUCCUGGCAUUAUUAUUUCAAGGUAAGGCUGGAUCAGGCCCUGGGCAAUCUGACCUAGCUGUGGACAUCCCUGUUCAUUGCAGGAGAGUUGGACUAGAUAGCCUGUAAUGGUCACUUCCAAUUCUAAGGAUUCUAUGAUUCAGUUACUACUAUAUUCUGUAAUUUAGAUUCACACAGAAUCACUCAGAAAUCAAAGUACUACUCAAAGUUAUUAGUGCUGCCUCCUGCCCCUGACUCUAUCUUCUUAGCUAGUUAAAUAGGAAGCAGGGGCAGUCAGUAUUCCUUCCUCUGUCCUGAUGCUCUCUGCCAUAAGCAGAUGAAUUCAGUCACCUGUUAGAUGAACAAAGAAUGAGAAUGCAGCUAUUACCUUGCAUGCUUACAGACAGUGCUGAGGGUGAUGAAGCAUACUUCCAGAGUGCUUCUACCCACCAAUAUUUGUUCUUGCAGCCCUGUUUACAUGGCUUUGUGACCCUACUGGAUUUCUCCAGCUCUGUAGGGUGAAAGCCAGGUGAUCGCUCUGACACCUUCCUGGUCUUGGCAGCAAGAGCAGCUACUGACUGACAGCCCACCAUGGAAUCAGUGUACAGUGUACAAGAAGUAUAUUUAGUCUUAUACUCAGCAUUUACAAGUAACAGAACCAAAUUUUUGUGCAUUGCUUGUGUUUUCUAAUACUAGCUGUACUAUUUAAUGCCACUGCCUGAAGUACAGGAUUCCCCAGGUGAGCCCUCCAUAUACCAGCUGCAUAAGGAUUGUCAGGCCUCCAAACUGUGGCAAAAAGGGCUGUGGAUCAGUCAUUGUCCCUGGUUUUCUGUAUGAUUUGUAAUUGUAAAAGACAUUUCAGACAGUCCUAUUUGUAGGAAAAAAAGUCCCAUCACACUUUUGGAAUGAGAUUGCAGUCCUAAUAUCUGAUUCACAGUUCAGUCCAAAAGUUGACAUCCUGCAGCUCCAGCUGGGUAGGGUAUUUGUUAACGUUGCCUUGUUCUUCUACAUGGGCUGGAGAGUUUUUUUUUGUUGCUGUUCAUUUACUUGCUGACAUGCUGGCACUAUGUUAUUCUGUGGCAGUAGUAUGUCUGACAGUAUUAUGACAGCAUUCUGUGGCUGUAUGUCUGUGAUAACUGUCAUAGAAAGGGGAAAAUAUGUGGCACUGGCAGAGAAGAUGCCUUCUCUGUUGUAGGGAAGAAGAUCUGUUGCCUCAGAGUAAAUCCACAUGUGAGCUAUAAUUCUGCAUCUGCUGAGCUCCUAUGCUGCAAGGCUAAAGAGUAAAAAAGCACUUUAUUAUUAACAAGUGGGGUGUCCACAACUGGUGUCUCAGCUGGUAAUGACCAUCUUCCUUAAUUUGUGGCUGUUGAAGUGAAUAACCUUUUUCAAGCACUUACUGGUUUUCUUCACCACUCACUACACAAUUGGAA